UCCCUCUUCAAAACAUAAGCAGGUGACAGCCCAAGAGGAAGGACCAGAGUGUCGCAUCCAGUGGCUCGCUUGCUGGAUUUUUAGCCAGCGGUAGUUCUGGGUUUGGCAGUUUAUCCAAGAAGAGGCCACCCUUAUUUACUUCAGCAUCAGGUCUGCACCAUUUUAUUGCAAAGGAUGGUAGAACUGCACUGGACAGCCAUGAGGUGAAGAGUCAAAUGCCAACAGGAGUAUUUAAACAAGUGGUCAUGGAUUCAGAAAACAGGUGCUGCACUCUUGUGACAGUGGAUGCAUGGGUCCAGCAGGCUUAGCAUCACAUUGUUUCCAUGCAAGUAACAUUACCCCAAGUCAGAAUCCAGCUGCCAUCAUCAUAGUGCUCUUUUAUAAUAAUGGUU
Long non-coding RNA from Cryptotermes secundus, 392 nucleotides. RefSeq lists it as uncharacterized. The record is from RefSeq and is a predicted model, not a curated record. The transcript is spliced from 3 exons. Lineage: Eukaryota; Metazoa; Arthropoda; Insecta; Blattodea; Kalotermitidae.